RNAcentral lists this microRNA precursor (101 nucleotides) under Glycine soja. RNAcentral's name for it is "miR1510b stem-loop (gso-MIR1510b)". The record is from miRBase by way of RNAcentral. Lineage: Eukaryota; Viridiplantae; Streptophyta; Magnoliopsida; Fabales; Fabaceae.
GGAUUUUAUGGAAGUGGAGGGAUAGGUAAAACAACUACUUCUGUAAAAGUAAUUGUUAUAGUUAGUUGUUGUUUUACCUAUUCCACCAAUUCCAUCUAUCC